UACGUAGGGUGCGAGCGUUAAUCGGAAUUACUGGGCGUAAAGCGUGCGCAGGCGGCUGUGCAAGACAGGUGUGAAAUCCCCGGGCUUAACCUGGGAACUGCACUUGUGACUGCAUGGCUGGAGUACGGCAGAGGGGGAUGGAAUUCCGCGUGUAGCAGUGAAAUGCGUAGAUAUGCGGAGGAACACCGAUGGCGAAGGCAAUCCCCUGGGCCUGUACUGACGCUCAUGCACGAAAGCGUGGGGAGCAAACAGG
RNAcentral lists this ribosomal RNA (253 nucleotides) under uncultured bacterium. RNAcentral's name for it is "partial 16S ribosomal RNA". It matches the Rfam family "Bacterial small subunit ribosomal RNA", at positions 524 to 776 of the family's 1533-position model. The record is from RNAcentral.